This 253-nucleotide ribosomal RNA is filed under the name uncultured bacterium. Its description in RNAcentral is "partial 16S ribosomal RNA". It matches the Rfam family "Bacterial small subunit ribosomal RNA", at positions 524 to 776 of the family's 1533-position model. The record is from RNAcentral.
UACGUAGGGUGCAAGCGUUAAUCGGAAUUACUGGGCGUAAGGCGUGCGCAGGCGGUUUCGUAAGCUUGAUGUGAAAUCCCCGGGCUCAACCUGGGAACUGCAUUGAGGACUGCGAGGCUAGAAUACGGCAGAGGGGGGUGGAAUUCCACGUGUAGCAGUGAAAUGCGUAGAGAUGUGGAGGAACACCGAUGGCGAAGGCAGCCCCCUGGGCCUGUAUUGACGCUCAUGCACGAAAGCGUGGGGAGCAAACAGG